UACAUAGGAAUCGAAAUAUGC
This 21-nucleotide non-coding RNA is filed under the name Caenorhabditis elegans. Lineage: Eukaryota; Metazoa; Nematoda; Chromadorea; Rhabditida; Rhabditidae. The record is from RNAcentral.